GCCAGCCGGUGCCCGGGUUCUACAGGAGCGCGCAGUUCCGGCGCGUGGCCCUCUGCUCCGGAAGUGGUUCUCCUCAGUACCGCUCUUCGCGUCAGAGCCGGUCUCGCUUUUCCUCAGGCGUCGGCCGAAGCCGCCUGCAGACAAGUUUUGGAAGGAAGGGCCUCCUGUACGGGGUCCACGCAGCCGCAGUCCGGCUGGUGCUGUUAACGUGCCGGCGGCGGCGGCGAGCGCCGCCGCUCCUGACCCGUCGUGGCCCGGCCGGCGACUCCGAGCCUCAGUAACGAGGUUGUGAAGAUGAGAAAAGAAGUGAAGAGAAUCCGAGUUUUUAUCUGAAAACUUGUCAGGAGUGUGAGCAGACUGGAGUCAGAAAAGGGUACUGAAGAUGCACUGUUAAAAAACCAGAGAUGAGCACAACGAUUGCUUGAAGAAAUCCAUGCCAUGAAGUUAAGGACUUAUUACAUGGAGGCUGAAGCUGAUGUUUGGAGGGUUAAGUGCCUGCUCACAGUGAAACGGCUAAGGGGUGGAGUCAGAACAUAAGCCAGGCAGUUUGGGAUCUAAGAGCUGGUGUUCCCUAGCAGGUACUUACAAAAUAGUACCUAUAGAGAUAUCUUAAUAUCUCUUUAAUAUAGAAAUAGAGAGAGGUAAGGAACGGGGAAACUGCAUUGUGCUGACAGACAGACAUACCUGAAGAACAAAAUGAGGCCGGGCCCUGAUAGAGCUGGUGCGUCAAAGAGUAUUAUUACAAUUUAUAUAGAAAUGGAUGAUCCUGUCUUGCUUUUAUAAACUGUCCCUCAGAUAGAACAAAGGGUUUUAAGGCAUAAAGUGGUAUUAUAAGGAACAAGUACAGCACAAGCACCAUUAAAAUAAUCCCAAGCAAACACUUAAAUCUUUAUAUCAUGUCUUUGUUGGGUAAGGACUAUUUUUUUUUUAUUGAAGCUCAAUUGGAAUUUCCAAAGUACAAAGGCAACUGAAAACUAAAUAAUACUUAUGGAUGGAAGAGUUGUUCACCAAGAUAAAUCUAAAAUGAUCCAUUUGUGACUCUAUAUGCCAUCCCCAAACAAGUCAGACUCCUUUUGGGCUUACCACGGCCUCUUUCUAUGGCCCCGAUUGCUGUCUGCAGCACUUGGUGUACAACUUGCCAAGCAUGGCUCGCCUCUGGCAUCAAGUGGCCAGUUGCAGAGGCAGCCCCACCCUGCAGCCAGUUUCCAGAAGUCCUGAUGAAGACUUUCACCCCUGUGGCGUGCUGCCUGGAUGCUACUGGCAUCCCUUAGACACGGCGGUCCCUCACAGGGACUCCAGAGGACAGAACAAGACACUCCUUGUUGCCCUUGCUGAAAGGAGCUGCUUCUUGAAAUGGCUUCAAUUGAGUCAGCGCCACCCCCUCUUAGAUGCCGUCCAAACUGCACGACUUCCCAGGGCUUCCAAGAACCCUGCCAAGGGGCUCCCUCCCACCAGGAAGCAGAAAGCACUCAGUCACUGUGAGAUGGAAUUCUCAGAAUGGGAAAAACCAGGGCACAGGCAUACCCAUUAUUACAUUUAGAUAUCAAGUCCAGGGCUCACUCACUGACAGCUAUUUUGUACAGGGACAAUAUGAAACAAUCCCCAUGAAUUCACAAUCCACCCCACACAUAGCUCACAGAUUUUUCCCUUUUGCCUAAAGGGCUAGAGUAAAUACUGCUGGCCUGGGGCAUAUCAGCUUCCAAGACACCUGACCACUCCCUUCCUUCAACCAUCAUUCACUGAGCACCUGCCUUUGCUCAGCCCUGCUGGGCCUGCAAAGUGAAUGAAACAGGGCCUCUUGCUCUUCACAGCCCUUAAUGGGAAGGAGCAGAGAGAGUAGAAAACACAGUCCAAUAGAGGGUACAGGCAACAUGCUGCAAUAGCUAUGCUUACAGCACAUCUGAUUGGGGGAGGGAAAGCAAACUGAGUUCAAAACGGCUCUUUGAACAGAAGGAUCUGCAGUCCUUUCAGAAGCCCCACAUUCUCUCUGCAUGGCAUGAAGGGAGGCAGGUGCAGUUCCCUACUCAGCCGCUAGCUGUGGUGCACCCUGUCCUGCCUCUCCUGUGACUGAUUAGGCAGGGUAGAUUGGAACUUAAUUGCACAAAAGCUGAAGAUACAGUGACAAAGGACUCCUCACUGAAUUCCAGGCAUCUGCUAGAAAAGAAAGAUUCAUACUGAGAACAUGGAAAGUGGGUUGUGAAACAGGCAGGACUGCAGGCGGCAGGACAUGAAGAGGAUGGAGUACCCUCCACUGGGUAGGGGUGGGGGGAUCUUCCUGAUGUUUCAAUCCAAGUGAACAGAUGCCAGCUGCUGUUUAACCUUCCUGUAUCCCUCUUCCAACAGCAUCUGGCCAGAACCCUUGUGCUCCUUCUCACCGCCUACAUAUUUACCUAGGGCUCCUUUUGAAACUCUUAUGCCCGUGCUUGGGAAUAAAGCCCUUCAAGCCUUUGUAAA
Molecule: long non-coding RNA, 2454 nt
Organism: Manis pentadactyla (Chinese pangolin)
Lineage: Eukaryota; Metazoa; Chordata; Mammalia; Pholidota; Manidae
Exons: 4
Source: RefSeq, a predicted model, not a curated record